Molecule: transfer RNA, 73 nt
Filed under: Gregarina niphandrodes
Lineage: Eukaryota; Apicomplexa; Conoidasida; Eugregarinorida; Gregarinidae
Rfam family: tRNA
About the family: Transfer RNA (tRNA) molecules are approximately 80 nucleotides in length. Their secondary structure includes four short double-helical elements and three loops (D, anti-codon, and T loops).
Source: Rfam by way of RNAcentral
GUGGUCGUGGUCUAGCGGUUAUGAUGUCUGGUUCACACGCAGAAGAUCCCCAGUUCGAACCCCGGCGACGUCA